GUGGGGAAUAUUGGGCAAUGGGCGCAAGCCUGACCCAGCAACGCCGCGUGAAGGAUGAAGGUCUUCGGAUUGUAAACUUCUUUGAUCAGGGACGAAUUUUGACGGUACCUGAAGAACAAGUCACGGCUAACUACGUGCCAGCAGCCGCGGUAAUACGUAGGUGACAAGCGUUAUCCGGAUUUACUGGGUGUAAAGGGCGUGUAGGCGGUUUAGCAAGUCAGAAGUGAAAUUCCCGGGCUUAACUUGGGCGCUGCUUCUGAAACUGCUUUACUUGAGUGCUGGAGAGGAUAGUGGAAUUCCUAGUGUAGCGGUAAAAUGCGCAGAUAUUAGGAGGAACACCGGUGGCGAAGGCGGCUAUCUGGACAGUAACUGACGCUGAGGCGCGAAAGCACGGGGAGCAAACAGG
This 406-nucleotide ribosomal RNA is filed under the name uncultured rumen bacterium. Its description in RNAcentral is "bacterial SSU rRNA". It matches the Rfam family "Bacterial small subunit ribosomal RNA", at positions 354 to 776 of the family's 1533-position model. The record is from RNAcentral.